UAGCUCAGUGGUUAAGAGCACUGCCUAUUCUUACAGAGGACCUGGGUUCAAUUCCCAG
This 58-nucleotide transfer RNA is filed under the name Neotoma lepida (desert woodrat). It matches the Rfam family "tRNA", at positions 8 to 63 of the family's 71-position model. From Rfam's summary of the family: Transfer RNA (tRNA) molecules are approximately 80 nucleotides in length. Their secondary structure includes four short double-helical elements and three loops (D, anti-codon, and T loops). Lineage: Eukaryota; Metazoa; Chordata; Mammalia; Rodentia; Cricetidae. The record is from Rfam by way of RNAcentral.